GAUGAAGAACGUAGCGAAAUGCGAAAAGUAAUGUGAAUUGCAGAAUUCAGUGAAUCAUCGAAUCUUUGAACGCACAUUGCGCCCGCCAGUAUUCUGGCGGGCAUGCCUGUCUGAGCGUCAUUUCAACCCUCAUGCCCCUAGGGCGUGGUGUUGGGGAUCGGCCAGCGCCCGCGAGGGACGGCCGGCCCCUAAAUCUAGUGGCGGACCCGUCGUGGCCUCCCCUGCGAAGUAGUGAUAUUCCGCAUAGGAGAGCGACGAGCCCCUGCCGUUAAACCCCCAACUUUCUAAGGUUGACCUCAGAUCAGGUAGGAAUACCCGCUGAACUUAAGCAUAUCAAUAAGCGGAGG
Molecule: unclassified non-coding RNA, 347 nt
Filed under: soil metagenome
Description: partial contains 5.8S ribosomal RNA, internal transcribed spacer 2, and large subunit ribosomal RNA
Rfam family: 5.8S ribosomal RNA (bases 1-120)
Source: RNAcentral